This 515-nucleotide ribosomal RNA is filed under the name uncultured bacterium. RNAcentral describes it as "partial 16S ribosomal RNA". It matches the Rfam family "Bacterial small subunit ribosomal RNA", at positions 28 to 523 of the family's 1533-position model. The record is from RNAcentral.
GAUGAACGCUGGCGGCGUGCCUAAUACAUGCAAGUCGAGCGAAUGGAUUAAGAGCUUGCUCUUAUGAAGUUAGCGGCGGACGGGUGAGUAACACGUGGGUAACCUGCCCAUAAGACUGGGAUAACUCCGGGAAACCGGGGCUAAUACCGGAUAACAUUUUGAACCGCAUGGUUCGAAAUUGAAAGGCGGCUUCGGCUGUCACUUAUGGAUGGACCCGCGUCGCAUUAGCUAGUUGGUGAGGUAACGGCUCACCAAGGCAACGAUGCGUAGCCGACCGGAGAGGGGGAUCGGCCACACUGGGACUGAGACACGGCCCAGACUCCUACGGGAGGCAGCAGGAGGGAAUCUUCCGCAAUGGACGAAAGUCUGACGGAGCAACGCCGCGUGAGUGAUGAAGGCUUUCGGGUCGUAAAACUCUGUUGUUAGGGAAGAACAAGUGCUAGUUGAAUAAGCUGGCACCUUGACGGUACCUAACCAGAAAGCCACGGCUAACUACGUGCCAGCAGCCGCCGCCG